RNAcentral lists this ribosomal RNA (468 nucleotides) under uncultured bacterium. RNAcentral describes it as "partial 16S ribosomal RNA". It matches the Rfam family "Bacterial small subunit ribosomal RNA", at positions 28 to 507 of the family's 1533-position model. The record is from RNAcentral.
GACGAACGCUGGCGGCGUGCUUAACACAUGCAAGUCGAACGGAAAGUCCCUGCUUUUGUGGGGUGCUCGAGUGGCGAACGGGUGAGUAACACGUGAGUAACCUGCCCUUGACUUUGGGAUAACUUCAGGAAACUGGGGCUAAUACCGGAUAGGAGCUCCUGCUGCAUGGUGGGGGUUGGAAAGUUCCGGCGGUUGGGGAUGGACUCGCGGCUUAUCAGCUUGUUGGUGGGGUAGUGGCUUACCAAGGCUUUGACGGGUAGCCGGCCUGAGAGGGUGACCGGCCACAUUGGGACUGAGAUACGGCCCAGACUCCUACGGGAGGCAGCAGUGGGGAAUAUUGCACAAUGGGCGGAAGCCUGAUGCAGCAACGCCGCGUGCGGGAUGACGGCCUUCGGGUUGUAAACCGCUUUCGCCUGUGACGAAGCGUGAGUGACGGUAAUGGGUAAAGAAGCACCGGCUAACUACGUG